GAGCGUCAUUACACCCUUCAAGCGUAGCUUGGUGUUGGGUCUCGCCCCCAGGGCGUACCCGAAAAGUAUUGGCGGUCCGGUGUGACUUUAAGCGUAGUAAAAUAUCUCCCGCUUUGAAAGCCUCGCACCGUGGCCGCCAGACAACCCACAAUUUUCUAAUGAUUGACCUCGGAUCAGGUAGGGAUACCCGCUGAACUUAA
This 200-nucleotide unclassified non-coding RNA is filed under the name soil metagenome. RNAcentral describes it as "partial contains internal transcribed spacer 2 and large subunit ribosomal RNA". The record is from RNAcentral.